CCUACGGGAGACAGCAGUGGGGAAUAUUGCACAAUGGGGGAAACCCUGAUGCAGCGACGCCGCGUGAGUGAAGAAGUAAUUCGUUAUGUAAAGCUCUAUCAGCAGGGAAGAAAAUGACGGUACCUGAGUAAGAAGCACCGGCUAACUACGUGCCAGCAGCCGCGGGAAUACGUAGGGGGAAAGCGUUAGCCGGAUUUAAUGGGUGUAAAGGGAGCGUAGACGGCAGUGCAAGUCUGGAGUGAAAGGCGGGGGCUCAACCCCCGGACUGCUCUGGAAACUGUACGGCUGGAGUGCAGGAGAGGUAAGUGGAAUUCCUAGUGUAGCGGUGAAAUGCGUAGAUAUUAGGAGGAACACCAGUGGCGAAGGCGGCUUACUGGACUGUAACUGACGUUGAGGCUCGAAAGCGUGGGGAGCAAACAGGAUUAGAUACCCGAGUAGUC
This 440-nucleotide ribosomal RNA is filed under the name uncultured bacterium. RNAcentral's name for it is "partial 16S ribosomal RNA". It matches the Rfam family "Bacterial small subunit ribosomal RNA", at positions 338 to 795 of the family's 1533-position model. The record is from RNAcentral.